This 253-nucleotide ribosomal RNA is filed under the name uncultured bacterium. RNAcentral describes it as "partial 16S ribosomal RNA". It matches the Rfam family "Bacterial small subunit ribosomal RNA", at positions 524 to 776 of the family's 1533-position model. The record is from RNAcentral.
UACGUAGGGUGCAGGCGUUAAUCGGAAUUACUGGGCGUAAAGCGUGCGCAGGCGGUCUGCUAAGAGAGAUGUGAAAUCCCCGGGCUUAACCUGGGAACUGCGUUUCUAACUGGCAGGCUUGAGUGUGGCAGAGGGGGGUGGAAUUCCACGUGUAGCAGUGAAAUGCGUAGAUAUCGGGAGGAACACCAGUGGCGAAGGCGACUUCCUGGCCCGUUCUUGACGCUGAGGCGCGAAAGCUAGGGGAGCAAACGGG